This 144-nucleotide ribosomal RNA is filed under the name Parablennius gattorugine (tompot blenny). RNAcentral's name for it is "partial small subunit ribosomal RNA". Lineage: Eukaryota; Metazoa; Chordata; Actinopteri; Blenniiformes; Blenniidae. The record is from RNAcentral.
AACUGGGAUUAGAUACCCCACUAUGCUUAGCCUUAAACUUAGAUAAUUAUAUUACACAUAUUAUCCGCCCGGGUACUACGAGCAUUAGCUUAAAACCCAAAGGACUUGGCGGUGCUUAACAACCCCCUAGAGGAGCCUGUUCUA